UUCUUCUUCCUCUUCUCCUUCUUUCAAGCCUUUGCCCGUCGUUGAAAUUCCUUUGCAAGAGACAUCGAUCGCACCACAGCAAACUAGCGUCCCCACUGAGGUCAGCAAAGCCGAUUCUGGCUAUCACCGCAUGGAAAAGCUCACUGUAAGCGUCUUUAUUUGCUUGUUUUUUAUUGGGAAAUUUUGGUAUGCUCUGUUAUUGCGGUGCAUUGAAGUGACAAUGAAAAGUUGAUUUUUGAUUGGAUGGGCUCUGAGAUAUGAUCAACGCAAUCAUAUACUAAUUGUAUUAGGAUAUUUAUUUAUUGUUAUUAUUAAUUUUGCUUUUAACUAUUAGGUGAGAGUUCGUUUUCUUAUAGUUAUAAUGUGUAGCAGAAAAAUUUAAGUAAUAAAUAAUGAAUAACCCGUAAUUUAUAUGCUGAAGCACUUGAUUUUAAUGGGGUCUGUCUGACUUUGAUUUCAUGUUCAAAUAAAUUAGUAUUUUCGAUGAUGUGGGAAAAUGUAUUCCCUAGUGGACUCCAUUUUCAGGUAUAUUUUAGAUCUUUGCUGGCAAAGAAAUAAGAUUUUAAUCAGCGGAUGUUGUUCUAUAAUAAUUAGGUGGUACUUGACUUGGAUGAAACGCUAGUUUCUGCAUGUGAAACAUCUAGCUUGCCUACCAGUAUUCGUAAUCUAGCAAUAGAAGCUGGUUUGAAGUGGUUCGAGUUAGAAUGUUUCUCUCCAGACAAGGAAUGUGAAGGAAAAACAAAGAUCAAUUAUGUGACAGUGUUCGAACGACCUGGCUUGCAUGAGUUCUUAAAACAGAUUAGUGAAUUUGCAGAUCUUGUUUUGUUUACUGCUGGUCUUGAAGGUUAUGCUGGGCCACUUGUUGACAGGAUAGAUGUGGAGAAACGAUUCAGCCUACGUCUUUAUCGGCCUUCAACUGUCAGCACGGCAUAUAGAGAACAUGUGAAAGAUCUGUCCUGUUUAUCCAAAGAUCUCUGUCAAAUUGUAAUAGUUGAUAAUAACCCAUUCAGUUUUUUGUUGCAACCGUUGAAUGGAAUACCAUGCAUUCCUUUUUCUGCUGGACAGCCAUAUGAUAAUCAGGUAGGUAGCUUUUCUCAUGCUAAUGAAGAAUUUAAAAUCUUUAAUGGCAAAUACUUCUGUUUUCCCUCAAUGCUGUUUGUUUCUGUCAACUGGCUUGUUUAGCUUUUGGACGUCGUCCUUCCACUCCUCAAGCAUCUGUCCCUUCAAAAGGAUGUUAGGCCUGUACUUUAUGAGAGGUUCCACAUGCCUGAAUGGUUUCAAACGCAUGGAAUUCCUGCUGCUUGUUGACACUAAAAUUAACUAAGUUUGGUUGGAACAGCUGUGAUUCUUGUCUGGGCGAUGCAGAAGAUACCUGUUUCCAUUGUAACAUUUUGCCACCAGAUACUGCCAUUUCUUGUAUAAUGUCAUUCUUAUGGUUAUGAACAGGUGCAGUAAAAGAGGUAUACUUGCUAAAGACACCUUCUGGAUAGUUACAUCUUUUGUUGUAGUUGCUAAGCAGGUUUAUGAUGAUAUUAGUUGACUCCAAUUCUUUUGUAAUUAGGUGUACUGCCACCAGUGUUGAUGAAUUUGAA
RNAcentral lists this unclassified non-coding RNA (1592 nucleotides) under Hevea brasiliensis (rubber tree). The record is from RNAcentral. Lineage: Eukaryota; Viridiplantae; Streptophyta; Magnoliopsida; Malpighiales; Euphorbiaceae.